Molecule: long non-coding RNA, 1141 nt
Filed under: Gallus gallus (chicken)
Lineage: Eukaryota; Metazoa; Chordata; Aves; Galliformes; Phasianidae
Description: lncRNA (ENSGALG00010026793.1)
Source: RNAcentral
CUUUUAGUGCUUUCCAGUCGAUAGUAGGGACAAAGAAAAAUCAUGACUGCCAAUGUUUCACUGUGAGUUAAAAUGCUCAGAAAAAUUAGUUACUUUUUUUUUUUAGGUCUAGUUCAGCUUGAAAAGAUACAGCUUUGUAUGAAAUGCCAUAUGCUGCCUGACGAAGCUUUCCUUUAAGGUUGUACCUUAUGCAUUCGCGUAAGCCUGUGAAAAGGAGCAAAAACAAAUGCUUGGAUCUGAUUUCUGUCUUCCUCUGGAUCUUUGGAUCAGUUCUAACUCCCACCCAGCCUCAUUCAUUGAUUCUGAUGGUGGUAUCCGGAGCACCUGCUGUGGGCAAAACUGUUCUUACAUCAUCUUACAAACACAGUGACCUCAAACAUGAAAUCAUGAGGUUAAUACCAUACCCAAGGCUUCCAAUAAGGCCCUUUCCAGGGGUCUGGGCUGAGUUUUUGAAAACGCCAUGGUAAUUUCUAGCUCUUGAUCAACACAAGAAUUACCAAAGGUAGAAAGCGUUCUGCCGUACAAGAACACAAGAGAAUGGUCCAGCAGAGCAGCAGUCUGAAUGGGGGAGUUCGUGGCACUCCUGCGAUGGCGAGAUCAGAAUCGGCUCCAACAUCUCUGAAGGGCUACGCCAUUUGUUCACACCGCAGUUCAACAGCUUUAAACAUCUCGUGGCAAAGCUGCGGUACAACUGCUCUAAAGCUUCACGAGCACGCUGAGGCCCACCUCCUUCCUUCCUGCAAAGGUCGGGCAGCUGGAGGCAGUGACACCAGGUGAAGCUGAGCAUGCUCAUCACUUGGGAAACCCAGGCCCCUGGUGAUCUUCUCUGACGUUAAUUGACUGUCAGACCCUGCAAGAGGGGAGGCAACACCUUUCCUGAUCUGUGGUCUGGAGUAGUGUUUUCCAGACUCUGGAGUGAAUUUCACGUUGUUGCAAAGGAAACGAUGAUGCAGUCCUCCAGCAGCUGCUGUGCUCCAGCAUCCUUGCAAAGAAACGCUGCUAAGGGUUGCCCCCAGCAAAACUGAAGCUAUCAUCCUGAAAGAGAGCGCUUGAAAAAGCAAGCUUUUAUGUGAGACUGCUGGGGGUGUGAUCUCAUUUUCCUACAUGCCAGAUCUAUGAGUCCUGUACCUCAAGUGUGGAA